Molecule: signal recognition particle RNA, 301 nt
Filed under: Jaculus jaculus (lesser Egyptian jerboa)
Lineage: Eukaryota; Metazoa; Chordata; Mammalia; Rodentia; Dipodidae
Description: Metazoan signal recognition particle RNA (ENSJJAG00000006434.1)
Rfam family: Metazoan signal recognition particle RNA
About the family: The signal recognition particle (SRP) is a universally conserved ribonucleoprotein. It is involved in the co-translational targeting of proteins to membranes.
Source: RNAcentral
GUGGGGCACAGUAGUCCAUGCCUGUAGUCCCAGCUACUUGGGAGGCUGAGACAGGAGGAUCUCUUGAGCCCAGACAUUCUGGGCUGUGGUGUGCUAUGCUGAUUGGGGGUCUGCACUAAGUUGGCCAUCAAUAUGGUGACCUCCUGGGAGCAGAGUACCACCAGGUUGCUUAAUGAGAGGUGAACCAGCCCAGGUCGGAAAUAGAGCAGGUCCAAAGACUUCAGUGCAGGGCAGUAGUGGGAUCAAGCCUGUGAAUAGCCAAUGCAUUCCAGCCUGGGCAACAUAGAGAGACCCCAUCUCU